This is a long non-coding RNA of Bombyx mori (domestic silkworm), 1751 nucleotides long. RefSeq lists it as uncharacterized. The transcript has 3 exons. The record is from RefSeq and is a predicted model, not a curated record. Lineage: Eukaryota; Metazoa; Arthropoda; Insecta; Lepidoptera; Bombycidae.
AAAAGUAUGAUGAAGCUAUGCUCAUUCUUUAAUUGGCAUUGCUCUCUGGCUUCGGUCAUUCAAAAAGAUAAUGUGCUUUCUUAAAAAAUAAAAAAAACCUUACAGAUUUAAAAAAAAGUUCUAAAUAUUGAAGCAAUAGCUUUCAAUGUUGUUUCUCUUUGCAGGUUCGAAAAUAAUUAUAAUAAUUGUACGUAUUCAUGCCCGCUGACACAUCAAGAAUUACUAUCGCAGAAAAUGGAUACAAAACUAAAUCGCGCUUAACCGUUCGGUCCGUAUCUAACAUUGACCGACUAGCGUAAAUAAAGCGCUAUAAACAUAGCACUCCCCAUGGAACAUACGGUACAAAAUGCAGAGGGAAGCGAAGUCUCUCCGCAGGCUCAGAGGUUCCGAACGAACGAUGUGUCUGAAGAAGCUCAUAACACGUUCCCGGCAUAUGGCAGAGAGCCUUUUUCGGAUGUUUAGCUCCCUUACAAUACAGUAUAUAUAACAUUAAAUAUAUAAAUUUUAGAGUAUUCUUAAAGAGAAGAAAAUCGCAUUGCGUUUAAAAUAGAUUUAAAAUGAAACCGAUUCAAAUUUUCUUUACUAACCGAAACAAAAGAAGCGUAAUACAAAAUAGAGAAUCAUUCGUCGUAAUAAUAAAUCGCUUACGAAUUCAGUUUACGGGCCAUUACCGUGCAAAUAGCAAUUUCAUUCAGUAAUUACGUUUGCGUUGGACCGAUUCGUUUUUCAUUUGUCCCCGUAAAAAGUAUUUCGCCGCGUAUUUAAAAAAAAUGUUGCCAGCGUGCUUAGUGAGAGCGAUUCGCUUUGGCUCAGACUAGGAACAAAGGUGUGGCCGCAACGCAAUAUUGUCGUUACCAAUUCACGAGCUUUUUAACGUCUUCUUUUAUUAUUAUCCUACGCGGGGCUCAUGCCGUUUUCUUUUGAUAAAUGAAGGAGAAAAUUAAAAGGAAAUGAGAGAUUUGUUUGCGACAAAGAAUAUUGUCGAUCAAGGCCUACUCAAGCCUGCUUGGAUUAGCUACUAGAAGAAAAACUAAGGGACGAUCGGGGAAAGACUAGUCAGGCGAAAAGUGAACAUCAUUUAUUUUAGUUGACGCAUUUAACGGAAUCAAAAAUUUUUUUUUUAUAUUUAGUUUGGUAAGAUAUCAUCAGUGAUCUAGAGGCAAUAAUUUAGGAUGAUGAACCGGCUUUUUUAAGAUAUUUCUAGUAAUUCCCGGUAUGUCAUCUGUAGUAGCAGCAAAUCAAUACUAAAUAAUGACAACGCAUUUCAAAACUUAAAAAAAAUGUAUGAUAUUCGCGUGUAGAAUUAAAAACAAAAAGACAUCGAAUUCUUUUGGCCAUUCAAAUACAAAAUUACACUAUUUUAUCGUUACAGUGUGUACUUUAUUUUAUAGGUCAUAUACUUAAUUAAUUUCCCAAGUGGCGGGUAUUAUUACUGCAAUAAAAGUAAUAAUUUGUCGUAAGAAUGGUCGCCCGCUGGCGCCGCCCAGCGAUUUACAAAACGGAAAAGUUUUACUCUGAAUUUCUUUUGUUUUGGAUGUGUGGACGAUAUGACGGCCCAGUUUGUGGUAGAUGGUUAGAGAUAGAGAGAGAGGAAGAGAGAGAAUAUACUUUAUUGCAUAUAAAAACACAAUUAUACAUUUAAAAAACAGUCAACAAGUAGAUAUAAUUGUACUAUAGGCGGUCUUAUCGCUAAAAGCAAUCUCUUCUAGACAACCGAUUUAUUUACAGAAAUUCUGAAAAGAUAAAGAUAC